This is a long non-coding RNA of Anguilla anguilla (European eel), 2462 nucleotides long. RefSeq lists it as uncharacterized. The record is from RefSeq and is a predicted model, not a curated record. The transcript is spliced from 2 exons. NCBI's taxonomy places the organism in Eukaryota, Metazoa, Chordata, Actinopteri, Anguilliformes, Anguillidae.
ACCGGAACAGGAGAUGGAGCGAGUCGUGUGAACUGAGGUUGACUGACACCUGAACCCAUUUUUCACAUUCGGGUUACUGCGUCAUUUCUGUAGAUGAGAACAUGUUAUUAACAUGGUAUUAACGUGGUAUUAACAUGGUAUUAACAUGAUAUAGAUAAUUUUCAGUAGAAGGUAAGUGAGGGGAGUAUGCAGAGGAGCAUUAUGGGAAAGGCAAACAGUUUGCUGUAGUUGGAUGGAAAUUAGCGGGUUGAGUAUUGUGAUCUUAUAGUUGGGUCUUCAAACUGGAGUGAGAGGGACUAGGCUAUUGAUUGGCUUGGCCUACUCUUCCAGUAAAGGUUUAGAAAGGUAGCUCAGAUGGAACGAGUAGUUUAAAGGUAGCUCAGAUGGAACGAGUAGUUUAAAGGUAGCUCAGAUGGAACGAGUAGUUUAAAGGUAGCUCAGAUGGAACGAGUAGUUUAAAGGUAGCUCAGAUGAGUCGAGUAGUUUAAAGGUAGCUCAGAUGAGUCGAGGAGUUUAAAGGUAGCUCAGAUGGAACGAGUAGUUUAAAGGUAGCUCAGAUGGAACGAGUAGUUUAAAGGUAGCUCAGAUGAGUCGAGUAGUUUAAAGGUAGCUCAGAUGAGUCGAGGAGUUUAAAGGUAGCUCAGAUGAGUCGAGGAGUUUAAAGGUAGCUCAGAUGAGUCGAGGAGUUUAAAGCUAGCUCAGAUGAGUCGAGAAGCAAGGAACAGUCACGUAGAGUCAGAGGUAGUGAGACGUUGAAUCGGAAAGUGACCGGAAAAGGUUGGGGACGUUUUAGAAGCCGGAGAGGGGGUGCGGCUUGUUGGGAAGCCGUGUGCGGGGACCUGGCAGGGGUGUAACCCGUCAUGUGAUACCGGGAACAGCCCCCACGCACACGCACACACACACACACACAGAACAGGGCGUCUGGGUUAAGGCUGAAGUAUUCCAGCCUAUUUCUGUCUGCUUGGAGCACAGCACCAAAAGGCACAAGUGCCACAUAUGCAGGUGGGCAGGCAGUCCACAAAACCAAACCUCCCAUCAAGCUUGAAUGUUUUUUUUUUUUUUUAAAAAAGGGUCAGCGUGUUUUAACAAGAUCCUGGGUAUGUGAAAAUGUAAUUAAAAAAAUUAAAAACAAAAAAAAUUACAAAAUAAAGGGAAACAGACCUGCUCUGUAUGGUAUUGAGUUAUAACGUAUUGUUAACUGGAUUUACAGUGAUAAAAUUAUACUAUGUUAGUAUUUUUGUUUUAUUAUGCUUGUUUUUGAUUCUCCAAAAUGUAGAAACUGCUUGUUGCUUUGUUUUGCGGCAGAAAGCCUGUUUGCCUCUGACUUUCCGGUUGGUCGAGACCCCCUUAGAAUCUCGGUGAGGUGUAGGUGUACGCGCACGCAUGUGUGUGCGUGCGUACGUAGCACGUGUGCAGGUGUGUGCGCGCGUGCGUGGGUAUGCGUGCGUACAGACCAGAGCCCAAGUUAGAGCCAGAAUCCCUAACAGCCUCAGCUCAUCGAAGCAACGAGAGCUCGAGCACCUUAAAGGUGAUUUAAGCGCAGCGCCCGAAUCUGGCCGCUGCAGUUAGCGGAAACUAGCGUUACCGCUCUUUACGCCGCCGAAGCUAAAGCCAACGCGCUCUUAUUGUGACGCCUUGUUUCCGCGCCGUACCCACACUAGCAACUCCGUGGACGUGCGGAUAAAAACUACGGACAGGAUGCAAGAAAAAAAAAAAAAGAGCUGGGGUCCCUUUCAACCGAAGCGGAGUAAACUCGACUCGAGGAGGGCGGGCUCGCCAGAUGGAACCAAUCAGAGUUCACAACAGCGCUGUCUGCCAAACUGGAAACAACUGCUGCUUGUUUGUUAGUUAGGAGGGAGCAUAAAAAUAGGAAAACUUGACUGGAUGUUGUUAUGAUACAGGUAUUAAUAUGUUAUUUAACUAUUCUGUUUUUUGUUUUGAUUUUUAUUUUUUACAAUUCAUUUGUAACUGCCACGAUUAUCAUUCCGGUAUCAAUGUAAAUGUAAAACCUAGAUGGCUGAGGUGGUCAUUGUUUAGUGCCUUUGCUAUAAUUAUGUUCAUAUUUAACUGCUACGAUGAUAAUCAGUGUUUUUUUUUAUACUUCUAUUUAUUGGUGGUAAAGCCAGGUUAUGUGCUGUAUUGCUACUCUGUCCAUGUUAUGACUCGUGACCGGGGGGAGAUGACAGACACCAUAGAGAGAACGGAAGUAGACGCUGAACAAAAGCCGUGACGACGCAGAGUUUCGCCCAUUCUGCGCUGCGUUGGCUUUUGUGCGGUUUGCCAGAUAUCUAUGGUUUUUUUGUGGAUCUGUUGUCCUCCUCUGACCUGGGUCCUCCACUGGGGGAAUGGUGGGGGGGGGGCUGGGGGGUGUUGGCGUGUGAGAGGCUUCCCCCGCCCCAUCUCUUUCCACUUCAGCCUUGUCACUCCAAGGACCCUCUCAAAUAAACGGAUCUUUUCAAACA